Molecule: non-coding RNA, 74 nt
Organism: Daphnia pulex (common water flea)
Lineage: Eukaryota; Metazoa; Arthropoda; Branchiopoda; Diplostraca; Daphniidae
Source: Rfam
GGCCUGUUAGCUCAGUUGGUUAGACUGCCGUUUAAAUAACGCGGAGGUCAUGAGUUCGAUCCUCUUACGGGCCA